This 449-nucleotide ribosomal RNA is filed under the name uncultured bacterium. Its description in RNAcentral is "partial 16S ribosomal RNA". It matches the Rfam family "Bacterial small subunit ribosomal RNA", at positions 29 to 523 of the family's 1533-position model. The record is from RNAcentral.
AGCGAACGCUGGCGGCAGGCCUAACACAUGCAAGUCGAACGGACCCUUCGGGGUUAGUGGCGGACGGGUGAGUAACACGUGGGAACGUGCCUUUAGGUUCGGAAUAGCUCCUGGAAACGGGUGGUAAUGCCGAAUGUGCCCUUCGGGGGAAAGAUUUAUCGCCUUUAGAGCGGCCCGCGUCCGAUUAGCUAGUUGGUGAGGUAAUGGCUCACCAAGGCGACGAUCAGUAGCUGGUCUGAGAGGAUGACCAGCCACAUUGGGACUGAGACACGGCCCAAACUCCUACGGGAGGCAGCAGUGGGGAAUCUUGCGCAAUGGGCGAAAGCCUGACGCAGCCAUGCCGCGUGGAUGAUGAAGGUCUUAGGAUUGUAAAAUCCUUUCACCGGUGAAGAUAAUGACUGUAGCCGGAGAAGAAGCCCCGGCUAACUUCGUGCCAGCAGCCGCGGUAA